Dallia pectoralis (Alaska blackfish) is the source of this 72-nucleotide non-coding RNA. Lineage: Eukaryota; Metazoa; Chordata; Actinopteri; Esociformes; Umbridae. The record is from the annotation of a GenBank genome assembly.
GUAAAUUGUAGCGCAGUGGUAGAGUACAUGCUUUGUAUGUAUGAUGUCCUGGGUUUGAUCCCCAGCUUCACA